GAGGGGGCUAGCGUUGCUCGGAAUUACUGGGCGUAAAGGGAGCGUAGGCGGACUGUUAAGUUAGAGGUGAAAGCCCAGGGCUCAACCUUGGAAUUGCCUUUGAUACUGGCAGUCUUGAGUACGGAAGAGGUAUGUGGAACUCCGAGUGUAGAGGUGAAAUUCGUAGAUAUUCGGAAGAACACCAGUGGCGAAGGCGACAUACUGGUCCGUUACUGACGCUGAGGCUCGAAAGCGUGGGGAGCAAACAGGAUUAGAUACCCUGGUAGUCCACGCCGUAAACGAUGAGUGCUAGUUGUCGGCAUGCAUGCAUGUCGGUGACGCAGCUAACGCAUUAAGCACUCCGCCUGGGGAGUACGGUCGCAAGAUUA
Molecule: ribosomal RNA, 368 nt
Filed under: uncultured organism
Description: partial 16S ribosomal RNA
Rfam family: Bacterial small subunit ribosomal RNA
Source: RNAcentral